CUUUUCUGGCUAUAUGCACAGUUUUUGUUUUUUUUUUCUGCUAGAUUGAAAUCAAUCAUGUGCAUUAUUUUCUUUACUUGGUUGAUGGUAAAGUAUUUAACUUCAAAGAAUUAUUGUACCAAAAGUGAAUAGUUUAGUGAUGCAGAUUAAUGAUUGAAAACCAAUCAGAUUCUCGGGUGCUGUUCACAUUGACAAUUGGAAAACUAGAAUAGUGUAAGAGAAUCCACUUAGCACCUUGAGAAUCUACCUAGGCUUUCUCUUAUCCAAAAAAAGAAUCUACCUAGGGUUUCCAUAAACCAUGGUCUAAAAAAAAAAAGAAAGAAAUAUGUGAUGACUUUGAAUAAAUAAUACAUACAUACAUACAUACAUACAUACAUACAUAUGUGUGUGUAUUGGGUUAAAUUAUAAUUUUGGUCUUCGAACAUCUGAGAUUUUGUCUUAUAGGUCAUUCUAAUAAGUUUUUGAACUGUCAUUGUCGUGUCAAAUUGGUCUUUGAAACUUAAAGUGUUGAAGAAGUCUUUAAGUUGGUCAACUUUAGGAAGUGUGUAGAAAGUUCUGUCUCUUGUAAAAAAGUGAAUUCUUUUUUGCAAUAAGUCGAUGUCUUGUUGAACAUUUUUGAAAGUUUAGGGUUGUAUUAGACAAGAUGGAAAGUUAAGGGAUUUAUUAAUAAUCUUUUAAAAUUCAAAGACAUAUCACAAACUUAAAGGUUGAGGGACCAAACUUGUAGUUUAAUCUUUCACAAAAUUCUCAACUAAUAUUAUCUUGUCGGUCUCUCUUUGCCCGUGGUUGAUCCAUCCUAGAAUCCUAGUUCCCUUUUCUUCACCUUGCCUUGGAUGGCUAAAACCUUGAAGAAGAUUGUAUUUUUCUCUUGGUUGGUUAUUUUGGGGAGGUUGAUGCCAUUUACUUUUACUUCAUCCAAAACAUCUUCAUUAAGGUUGUGUGCUCCUAAUGCUGUGUGCUCCUAAUGCUGUGUGCUCUGCUAGGAGGUGGAAGAUCUAAACCAUGUAUUUGCACGUUUGAAUAUGCUGUGAAAAUAUGAAAAUAGUUUUGGAUGCGUUUGGCUCCUCUAGAAGUCAUAAGGGACAUUAUGGAGGAGGUGCUUGUUAAUCCUUCAUUUCGUACUAGUGGUUUAAUUAUUUGGCCAGCAACGUUCUUUGUGAGUAUAUGAAACUUAUUGCUGCAAAGAAAUUGGAGAACUUUUCCAAUGGGAACUUGGCCAUUUGUGAAUCCAUGUGGUUGGCUGCCCCAAAAGCUAACGUCUUUUUGAUUUUCUGUCUCCUAAUUGGCUUUUAGUUGGUCCUUGAUCCCUCCCUCCCCUUGGAAAGCAUCCCUGACUUCUUGGCCCCUGUCUCCUUGGAUCCUUCCAUAGGAAAAAGAAAAGAAAAGAAAAUAAAAGAACAGAACAGAACAAAAACCCUCUGGUUGGCUACCAACAGGGAUUAUUUUGGGCCAUUUGGUGUCACUGCAACAGUUGGGUUUUCAACAACUCCACUACAUGCUUCAACAGUUUUCUAGUACUGGUUCUUUUUACAGCUUUUAUAUGGGUGUAAACGUUUGCAUACCUUUAAGGAUUCUAGUGUAAACUCUUGUUACAAGGUGGAGAUGCUUUUGUUAGAUGGUUUGGGAGAAUUUCCUCCCCUUUUGUAUAUUUCAUUUAUCACUAAAUUCUCUGUUUCUCAAAAGAAAAAAAA
Long non-coding RNA from Cucurbita maxima (winter squash), 1691 nucleotides. RefSeq lists it as uncharacterized. The record is from RefSeq and is a predicted model, not a curated record. NCBI's taxonomy places the organism in Eukaryota, Viridiplantae, Streptophyta, Magnoliopsida, Cucurbitales, Cucurbitaceae. The transcript is spliced from 2 exons.